AAGUCGUAACAAGGUCUCCGUAGGUGAACCUGCGGAGGGAUCAUUAUUGAAUUUUCUUUGCCCUCGUGGCAAAGUCCCUUUCAAACACCUGUGAACCGGGCUUCGGCCAUAUCUUUUUUAAACAACGUAUCAAGAAAGUCCUGUAGCUUGCUACAAAAAGUAAAUAAAAUACAACUUUUAGCAACGGAUCUCUUGGCUCUC
Molecule: unclassified non-coding RNA, 201 nt
Filed under: fungal sp.
Lineage: Eukaryota; Fungi
Also listed under: 1 other name
Description: partial internal transcribed spacer region
Rfam family: Eukaryotic small subunit ribosomal RNA (bases 1-46)
Source: RNAcentral